RNAcentral lists this small nuclear RNA (22 nucleotides) under Arabidopsis thaliana (thale cress). Its description in RNAcentral is "snRNA_15829". Lineage: Eukaryota; Viridiplantae; Streptophyta; Magnoliopsida; Brassicales; Brassicaceae. The record is from RNAcentral.
CAAUUGCGGACCAAUAUGUAAG